AACAUGCUGUAACCGCUCGAAGCGGGUACCCCAAGAGCUUGUCUUUCCGGACAAGUCACCUGGCUUAUAGGCGAGUCUGAGACAUGAG
This is a non-coding RNA of Paenibacillus sp., 88 nucleotides long. NCBI's taxonomy places the organism in Bacteria, Bacillati, Bacillota, Bacilli, Caryophanales, Paenibacillaceae. The record is from Rfam.